CGCUCCAUCCCAAACACACACACAUUUUUCCCCCGGACUUGGAAAGUCACCCAAAGCCGCCCCAAGUGCAGGCAAACAGACCUCGCUGAGAGAAGGCAAAGACCCUCUCCAUCCCACCUGCCCUUCCAGCUGCCACAGACAUCGACCCCUCCUUUACCAGGUGGUCCUGCAACUCCCCAGUGGUGCACAUUGGAAUGGACUUUGGACCCCGGUCUCUUGGGAUGCAAAGGAUGAAGUGACACCCCCAGCUGCAAGAGAGGAGCCUCUAGGACCUGCUAAGAG
Tupaia belangeri chinensis (Chinese tree shrew) is the source of this 282-nucleotide long non-coding RNA. RefSeq lists it as uncharacterized. The transcript is spliced from 3 exons. NCBI's taxonomy places the organism in Eukaryota, Metazoa, Chordata, Mammalia, Scandentia, Tupaiidae. The record is from RefSeq and is a predicted model, not a curated record.